GAUGAACGCUGGCGGCGUGCCUAAUACAUGCAAGUCGAGCGAACAGACGAGGAGCUUGCUCCUCUGACGUUAGCGGCGGACGGGUGAGUAACACGUGGAUAACCUCCCUAUAAGACUGGGAUAACUUCGGGAAUCCGGAGCUAAUACCGGAUAAUAUAUUGAACCGCAUGGUUCAAUAGUGAAAGACGGUUUUGCUGUCACUUAUAGAUGGAUCCGCGCCGCAUUAGCUAGUUGGUAAGGUAACGGCUUACCAAGGCAACGAUGCGUAGCCGACCUGAGAGGGUGAUCGGCCACACUGGAACUGAGACACGGUCCAGACUCCUACGGGAGGCAGCAGUAGGGAAUCUUCCGCAAUGGGCGAAAGCCUGACGGAGCAACGCCGCGUGAGUGAGGAAGGUCUUCGGAUCGUAAAACUCUGUUAUUAGGGAAGAACAAAUGUGUAAGUAACUAUGCACGUCUUGACGGUACCUAAUCAGAAAGCCACGGCUAACUACGUG
This 497-nucleotide ribosomal RNA is filed under the name uncultured bacterium. RNAcentral describes it as "partial 16S ribosomal RNA". It matches the Rfam family "Bacterial small subunit ribosomal RNA", at positions 28 to 507 of the family's 1533-position model. The record is from RNAcentral.